This 497-nucleotide ribosomal RNA is filed under the name uncultured bacterium. RNAcentral's name for it is "partial 16S ribosomal RNA". It matches the Rfam family "Bacterial small subunit ribosomal RNA", at positions 28 to 507 of the family's 1533-position model. The record is from RNAcentral.
GAUGAACGCUGGCGGCGUGCCUAAUACAUGCAAGUCGAGCGAACAGACGAGGAGCUUGCUCCUCUGACGUUAGCGGCGGACGGGUGAGUAACACGUGGAUAACCUACCUAUAAGACUGGGAUAACUUCGGGAAACCGGAGCUAAUACCGGAUAAUAUAUUGAACCGCAUGGUUCAAUAGUGAAAGACGGUUUUGCUGUCACUUAUAGAUGGAUCCGCGCCGCAUUAGCUAGUUGGUAAGGUAACGGCUUACCAAGGCAACGAUGCGUAGCCGACCUGAGAGGGUGAUCGGCCACACUGGAACUGAGACACGGUCCAGACUCCUACGGGAGGCAGCAGUAGGGAAUCUUCCGCAAUGGGCGAAAGCCUGAAGGAGCAACGCCGCGUGAGUGAUGAAGGUCUUCGGAUCGUAAAACUCUGUUAUUAGGGAAGAACAAAUGUGUAAGUAACUAUGCACGUCUUGACGGUGCCUAAUCAGAAAGCCACGGCUAACUACGUG